CGAAAGCCUGACGGAGCAAGACCGCGUGAGGGAGGAAGGCUCUUGGGUUGUAAACCUCUUUUCUCAGGGAAGAACACAAUGACGGUACCUGAGGAAUCAGCCUCGGCUAACUCCGUGCCAGCAGCCGCGGUAAUACGGAGGAUGCAAGCGUUAUCCGGAAUUAUUGGGCGUAAAGCGUCCGUAGGUGGCCGUUCAAGUCUGCCGUUAAAACCAGUAGCUUAACUACUGACAGGCGGUGGAAACUGAACAGCUAGAGUGUGGUAGGGGUAGAGGGAAUUCCUGGUGUAGCGGUGAAAUGCGUAGAGAUCAGGAAGAACACCAGUGGCGAAAGCGCCCUGCUGGACCUGCACUGACACUGAGGGACGAAAGCUAGGGGAGCG
RNAcentral lists this ribosomal RNA (380 nucleotides) under uncultured Cephalothrix sp. RNAcentral describes it as "bacterial SSU rRNA". It matches the Rfam family "Bacterial small subunit ribosomal RNA", at positions 376 to 770 of the family's 1533-position model. Lineage: Bacteria; Bacillati; Cyanobacteriota; Cyanophyceae; Aerosakkonematales; Aerosakkonemataceae. The record is from RNAcentral.